RNAcentral lists this ribosomal RNA (468 nucleotides) under uncultured bacterium. RNAcentral's name for it is "partial 16S ribosomal RNA". It matches the Rfam family "Bacterial small subunit ribosomal RNA", at positions 28 to 507 of the family's 1533-position model. The record is from RNAcentral.
GACGAACGCUGGCGGCGUGCUUAACACAUGCAAGUCGAACGGAAAGGCCCUGCUUUUGUGGGGUGCUCGAGUGGCGAACGGGUGAGUAACACGUGAGUAACCUGCCCUUGACUUUGGGAUAACUUCAGGAAACUGGGGCUAAUACCGGAUAGGAGCUCCUGCUGCAUGGUGGGGGUUGGAAAGUUUCGGCGGUUGGGGAUGGACUCGCGGCCUAUCAGCUUGUUGGUGGGGUAGUGGCUUACCAAGGCUUUGACGGGUAGCCGGCCUGAGAGGGUGACCGGCCACAUUGGGACUGAGAUACGGCGCAGACUCCUACGGGAGGCAGCAGGGGGGAAUAUUGCACAGUGGGCGGAAGCCUGAUGCAGCAGCGCCGCGUGCGGGAUGACGGCCUUCGGGUUGUAAACCGCUUUCGCCUGUGACGAAGCGUGAGUGACGGUAAUGGGUAAAGAAGCACCGGCUAACUACGUG